AUUGAACGCUGGCGGCGUGCUUAACACAUGCAAGUCGUGCGGUAACAGGCGUAGCAAUACGUGCUGACGAGCGGCGAACGGGUGCGUAAUACAUGGGAAUCUGCCUUUUAGUGGGGAAUAACCCGGCGAAAGCCGGGCUAAUGCCGCAUAAGAUCUUCGGAUGAAAGCGGGGGAUCGUAAGACCUCGCGCUGAUAGAUGAGCCCAUGCCGGAUUAGCUAGUUGGNGAGGUAACGGCUCACCAAGGCGACGAUCCGUAGCUGGUCUGAGAGGACGGCCAGCCACACUGGGACUGAGACACGGCCCAGACUCCUACGGGAGGCAGCAGUGGGGAAUAUUGGACAAUGGGGGAAACCCUGAUCCAGCGACGCCGCGUGUGUGAAGAAGGCC
Molecule: ribosomal RNA, 388 nt
Filed under: uncultured bacterium
Lineage: Bacteria
Description: bacterial SSU rRNA
Rfam family: Bacterial small subunit ribosomal RNA
Source: RNAcentral